UUUACAUCCAGUGAUGUAAAAGAGCCCAGUUUGACUGGCAUGUUCACGAGCAAGCAGUAAAUUGCCCUUUGCCUCUUAGGCCGCCCGUUGUGAAUCGCUUGUGGGCGUGCUGGCAGCAUAUAAUACCUUUUUGAUUGAGCGUCAAUAAUUCAACAUAUGAAGUAUGUAUGAAGGUCUGGUUAUUAAAUGCCUAAAUAGUUCGAUAGUAAUAUGCUUUUAAGACGCUCUGGUGACGAACACACUUUGCUUCCCUGUUUCCAAUUGUCCACAUGGAUGGGAGAACCUAUUCAAGUAAGUAACGUUAAAUACAUUUCGAAAAUGUAAAAAAAAAAACGAUUUAUUAUUAGUUAGCUACAGUGCAGGCUAACUCAUACGCUGCUAAAUGAGCUAGCCAACUUGACAUAAGGUGGGUGAAAAGAUAGCAGCCCCAACUCAAAGCGAGAGAGUAGGCUAUUCUGGAUAGGGAAGGUACUUGUGUAGUUCCAGUCCCUAGAAGUGAGGCUGGAGAUAAUAGUAACAUAAUAUUCAGUGCAGUGUAAUGAAGUCUGUUUCUUGUGAGGCUUUCUGUCCUCAGAUAAAGAGAGCUAUGAAAGCCUGUCUAGAGAUAAAGAUGUCCCAAUGAAGGGCAGCGGUUCAAAGUCCUGGCCCUGGGGACUCAAAGGGGUGCACGUUUUGCUGAUACAAAUGAUCAACUCUUCAUCAAGCUUCAAGUGAUACCUUGUAACGAUUGCCUACAGUUAAGAUGUAGGGCACUGCAAGGUUGGGUGACCAGGGCCACCUGGGACUGCCUCCUGGAGGAAUUCAGGUGUGUGAAGGCUAACUGUGCUGUCCUGCAUAACUUCAUGAGAAUGGACACGUGGACCAGGAGGGGAUCUGCAGCUCGCCGCUGUGUGCCAGAGGAGAUGUCUACUGCUCUGCAGGAUGUUUCAAGGAUGGGGUCCAACAACGCAGCAAGAGGCAAUCCGUGUGCGGGAGAUCUUCACCUCCUACUUCUUCAAAGAGGGUGCUGUUCCUUGGCAACACUAUAGACUACACUAUGCACAACCAAAGGCUCUUUUAAGAGCCAUCCACAUUACAAUAAGAGUAUUCUUCCAUUUACUUAGCGAUGUCAACUGCAGUUAUUACAUUCCCAGUUUCUCUCCCUUUGAUUUCUACUUCUCAGGUGUGGAUGCUGUUUAGGUAAGGGUGUAAUGCCAAAACAAAAACAGGCUAUUUUAAGUCACCCAUAUUGAAAAAAAUUAGAACAAUUAGACACCCUAUAACCCACACCUACACACUCAUGUAUCAAUCUGAUUGAUGGAUUGUGUUGUGCAGUAAGCAGGCUCAGGUGUAUACCUGGCUCCUUCCACCUUCAAAGAAUAGGUAAGAGAGCCUACCAUGGAGAAUAGUAAGACACUUCCUUAUUUCUAUAACUACGCAAUAUUGUUUGUCCUCGUGUGUCUGUGUGUAACAGUAUAGCUUCCCAUCCCUCUCCUCGCCCCAACCUGGGCUCAAACCAGGGACCCUCUGCACACAUCAACAGUCACCCUCGAAGCAUCGUUACCCAUCGCUUCACAAAAGCAGCGGCCCUUGUAGAGCAAGGGGAACCACUACUUCAAGGUCUCAGAGCAAGUGACGUCACCGAUUGAAACGCUAUUAGCGCGCACCACCGCUAACUAGCUAGCCAUUUCACAUCGGUUACAUGUGCAUGUUUUUCAGCAUAAAGUACUCUGCAGCCACUUAGUGUGGACACCUGGUGAGGCCUCGCACACAGAUUCCUGUUGAACGCUGUCUCUUUAACUACCUUAUUUUCUCAAUAAGUCUUUCCCCUUCACUUCAUCCCUCUCUCCCCCCUUCUCCCUAAAUCCUCUAAGUGAUAUCAGCUGUGUCUGUGAACCCUUCCCGCAUCUGAACUGGCUACACAGAAGGCACAGCAUGAUCAGAGUUGAGGUCACUUGGUCGGGUCAACAGGAACUAUUAUUAAAGAGAUGCUUUACAUUGAAA
Long non-coding RNA from Oncorhynchus mykiss (rainbow trout), 1983 nucleotides. RefSeq lists it as uncharacterized. NCBI's taxonomy places the organism in Eukaryota, Metazoa, Chordata, Actinopteri, Salmoniformes, Salmonidae. The record is from RefSeq and is a predicted model, not a curated record.